This 209-nucleotide long non-coding RNA is filed under the name Lathyrus oleraceus (garden pea). RNAcentral's name for it is "Pisum sativum (pea) long non-coding RNA (PSAT_LNC016985)". The record is from RNAcentral. Lineage: Eukaryota; Viridiplantae; Streptophyta; Magnoliopsida; Fabales; Fabaceae.
GCUGGUUGUGCAAACUCUGACUAGGUCGAAGCUUCAGUCGGAAUCAGAACAUAAAUCCAACUUAGGGUUAACUGAUCACACUGUCUGAACAGAAAGUCACCAUCAGAACCAAUAGUCACCAACGGUACCUGUAAUGAAUAACCCUUCCCCACUCACGGGUGUAGUCUAGGCCAGGGUAAAGCUGAGAGAAACGCAGCAUAAAUAACCUU